Molecule: transfer RNA, 78 nt
Filed under: Candidatus Altimarinota bacterium
Lineage: Bacteria; Candidatus Altimarinota
Also listed under: 1 other name
Description: tRNA-Arg
Rfam family: tRNA
About the family: Transfer RNA (tRNA) molecules are approximately 80 nucleotides in length. Their secondary structure includes four short double-helical elements and three loops (D, anti-codon, and T loops).
Source: RNAcentral
GCAGCCAUAGCUCAGUUGGAUUAGAGCGCCUCCCUGCGAAGGAGGAGGUCGCAGGUUCGAGCCCUGCUGGUUGCACCA